This 402-nucleotide ribosomal RNA is filed under the name uncultured bacterium. RNAcentral describes it as "bacterial SSU rRNA". It matches the Rfam family "Bacterial small subunit ribosomal RNA", at positions 355 to 774 of the family's 1533-position model. The record is from RNAcentral.
UGGGGAAUCUUGCACAAUGGGGGAAACCCUGAUGCAGCGACGCCGCGUGAACGAUGAAGCCCUUCGGGGUGUAAAGUUCUUUCGACAGGAACGAUAAUGACGGUACCUGGAGAAGAAGCUGCGGCUAACUACGUGCCAGCAGCCGCGGUAAUACGUAGGCAGCGAGCGUUGUUCGGAGUUACUGGGCGUAAAGAGUGCGUAGGCGGCGAGCCAAGUUUGGUGUGAAAUCUCCCGGCUUAACCGGGAGGGUGCGCCGAAAACUGGUUGGCUGGAGUAUGGGAGAGGAAAGCGGAAUUCCUGGUGUAGCGGUGAAAUGCGUAGAUAUCAAGAGGAACACCUGAGGCGAAGGCGGGUUGCUGAGCCGACACUGACGCUGAUGCGCGAAAGCCAGGGGAGCAAACG